GACACCCUUGAGGCCUCUUCCACCAUCUCCUCUGUGUGCUGAAGGGAAAAGGGCCGCCAUGCAGCCAGCUCAGGCAGGGGUGUCCUUCGAAGAGGUGGCCGUGAUUUUCACCCCGGGGGAGUGGAGCCUGCUGCGCCCAGCCCAGAGAGCUCUGUACAAGGAAGUCAUGCUGGAGAAUUUUGGGAACGUGGCCUCUCUCAGUCCUCCGAUUGCCAAACCUGAGCUCAUAUCCUGGCUAGAAGAAGACAAAGAGCUGUUUCUCUUGUACUGUGA
Long non-coding RNA from Heteronotia binoei (common prickly gecko), 273 nucleotides. RefSeq lists it as uncharacterized. The transcript has 3 exons. NCBI's taxonomy places the organism in Eukaryota, Metazoa, Chordata, Lepidosauria, Squamata, Gekkonidae. The record is from RefSeq and is a predicted model, not a curated record.